RNAcentral lists this ribosomal RNA (253 nucleotides) under uncultured bacterium. RNAcentral describes it as "partial 16S ribosomal RNA". It matches the Rfam family "Bacterial small subunit ribosomal RNA", at positions 524 to 776 of the family's 1533-position model. The record is from RNAcentral.
UACGUAGGGGGCAAGCGUUAUCCGGAUUUACUGGGUGUAAAGGGGGCGCAGACGGCGAUGCAAGCCAGGAGUGAAAGCCCGGGGCCCAACCCCGGGACUGCUCUUGGAACUGCGUGGCUGGAGUGCAGGAGGGGCAGGCGGAAUUCCUGGUGUAGCGGUGAAAUGCGUAGAUAUCAGGAGGAACACCGGUGGCGAAGGCGGCCUGCUGGACUGCAACUGACGUUGAGGCGCGAAAGCGUGGGGAGCAAACAGG